UAUAACGAUACAUUUAGCUGUCAAAAGCAAGAGCAAAGAAACUCCUUGUGUCAUACAUAAGAAAGAUAACCACAAAAGUAAUGCGUAUUCAUUGAGAAGUCUUACUGUGCCUGUGUCUGCUGACAAUAAUAUAGCGAUACAAUUAGCUGUCAAAAACAAAAACAAUGAAACUCCUUGUGUUAUAAAUAAAAAGAUAACCACAAAAGUAAUGCAUAUUCAUUGAGAAGUCUUAUUGUACCUGCGUCUGCUGACUAUAAUAUAGCGAUACAAUUAGCUGUCAAAAGCAAAAGCAAUGAAACUCCAAGUGGUAUACAUGAAACCGAUAAGCACAAAAGUAAUGCGAAUUCAUUGAGAAGUCUUCCUGUGGCU
Long non-coding RNA from Pseudomyrmex gracilis, 369 nucleotides. RefSeq lists it as uncharacterized. The transcript is spliced from 3 exons. NCBI's taxonomy places the organism in Eukaryota, Metazoa, Arthropoda, Insecta, Hymenoptera, Formicidae. The record is from RefSeq and is a predicted model, not a curated record.